CCUACGGGAGGCAGCAGUGAGGAAUAUUGGUCAAUGGACGAGAGUCUGAACCAGCCAAGUAGCGUGAAGGAUGAAUGCCCUAUGGGUUGUAAACUUCUUUUAUAUGGGAAUAAAAUGUUCCACGUGUGGGAUUUUGUAUGUACCAUAUGAAUAAGGAUCGGCUAACUCCGUGCCAGCAGCCGCGGUAAUACGGAGGAUCCGAGCGUUAUCCGGAUUUAUUGGGUUUACAGGGAGCGUAGGUGGAUUGUUAAGUCAGUUGUGAAAGUUUGCGGCUCAACCGUAAAAUUGCAGUUGAAACUGGCAGUCUUGCGUACAGUAGAGGUGGGCGGAAUUCGUGGGGUAGCGGUGAAAUGCUUAGAUAUCACGAAGAACUCCGAUUGCGAAGGCAGUUCACUGGACUGCAACUGACACUGAGGCUCGAAAGUGUGGGUAUCAAACAGGAUUAGAUACCCGAGUAGUC
Molecule: ribosomal RNA, 460 nt
Filed under: uncultured bacterium
Lineage: Bacteria
Description: partial 16S ribosomal RNA
Rfam family: Bacterial small subunit ribosomal RNA
Source: RNAcentral